CUACGGGGGGCAGCAGUGGGGAAUAUUGGACAAUGGGCGAAAGCCUGAUCCAGCCAUGCCGCGUGUGUGAAGAAGGCCUUCGGGUUGUAAAGCACUUUCAGUGGGGAAGAAAGCCUUGGGGCUAAUACCCUCGAGGAAGGACAUCACCCACAGAAGAAGCACCGGCUAACUCCGUGCCAGCAGCCGCGGUAAUACGGAGUGUGCGAGCGUUAAUCGGAAUUACUGGGCGUAAAGCGCGCGUAGGCGGUCUGAUAAGCCGGUUGUGAAAGCCCCGGGCUCAACCUGGGAACGGCAUCCGGAACUGUCAGGCUAGAGUGCAGGAGAGGAAGGUAGAAUUCCCGGUGUAGCGGUGAAAUGCGUAGAGAUCGGGAGGAAUACCAGUGGCGAAGGCGGCCUUCUGGACUGACACUGACGCUGAGGUGCGAAAGCGUGGGUAGCAAACAGGAUUAGAUACCCUAGUAGUC
Molecule: ribosomal RNA, 464 nt
Filed under: Vreelandella stevensii
Lineage: Bacteria; Pseudomonadati; Pseudomonadota; Gammaproteobacteria; Oceanospirillales; Halomonadaceae
Description: partial 16S ribosomal RNA
Rfam family: Bacterial small subunit ribosomal RNA
Source: RNAcentral